GUUGGCUUAGAAGCAGCCACUCAUUUAAAGAGUGCGUAAUAGCUCACUAGUCGAGUGAUUGUGCGCCGAAAAUGUAACGGGGCUAAAAUUCAUACCGAAGCUUAGGAAUGAUAGUAAUAUUGUUGGUAGAUGAGCGUUGUGUAAGUCUGCGAAGCUACACCGAAAGGAGUAGUGGAGAUAUCACAAGUGAGAAUGCCGGAAUGAGUAGCGAGAAUUAUGUGAGAAUCAUAAUGGUCGAAAAUCUAAGGUUUCUUGAGGAAGGUUCGUCCGCUCAAGGUAAGCCGGGAGCUAAGGCGAGGCCGAGAGGCGUAGUCGAUGCACAUACGGUAAAGAUUCCGUAGCCACCGAAGUCGUUAAAUACAGGGACACAGGAACAUAGCCUAACCCCACCGUUGGUUGAGUGGGGCGUAAGGGAGCGAAAAAUAGUAGCGAAGUAGGUGAUUGUACACUGGCGAGAAAAGCUGUAUGUAUUGAUAAGGUGCCCGUACCGCAAACCGACACAGGUAGAUGAGGAGAGAAUCCUAAGACCAGCGGGAGAAGUGUUGUUAAGGAACUCGGCAAAAUGACCCCGUAACUUCGGGAUAAGGGGAGCCUACGCGAGUAGGCCGCAGAGAAUAGUCUCAAGCGACUGUUUAGCAAAAACACAGGUCUAUGCUAAAUCGAAAGAUGAUGUAUAUGGGCUGACGCCUGCCCGGUGCUGGAAGGUUAAGGGGAAGUGUUAGAGCAAUCGAAGCACUGAACUUAAGCCCCAGUAAACGGCGGCCGUAACUAUAACGGUCCUAAGGUAGCGAAAUUCCUUGUCAGGUAAGUUCUGACCCGCACGAAUGGCGUAACGACUUGAGAGCUGUCUCAACAACAUACCCGGCGAAAUUGAAGUACUGGUAAAGAUGCCAGUUACCCGUGAUAAGACGGAAAGACCCCAUGGAGCUUUACUGUAACUUGAUAUUGAAUUUUUGUAUUACAUGUACAGGAUAGGUGGGAGACAGAGAACUAAUGCCGCCAGGUGUUAGGGAGUCGAUGUUGGGAUACCACUCUUGUAAUAUGAAGGUUCUAACCUGCACCCGUGAAUCCGGGUGGGGGACACUGUCAGGUGGACAGUUUGACUGGGGCGGUCGCCUCCUAAAAGGUAACGGAGGCGCUCAAAGGUUGGUUC
RNAcentral lists this ribosomal RNA (1153 nucleotides) under human gut metagenome. Its description in RNAcentral is "bacterial LSU rRNA". It matches the Rfam family "Bacterial large subunit ribosomal RNA", at positions 1100 to 2323 of the family's 2925-position model. The record is from RNAcentral.